AAGACGAACGCUGGCGGCGUGCUUAACACAUGCAAGUGGAGCGACGAACCAGGGCUUGCCCUGGGGCAGAGCCGCGAACGGGUGAGUAACACGUGGGUUACCUGCCUUGAUGACCGGGACAACCCGAGGAAACUCGGGCUAAUACCGGAUGUGCCCGCAAGGGGAAAGGAAGCUUCGGCCUCCGCAUCAAGAUGGGCCCGCGGCCCAUUAGCUUGUUGGUGAGGUAACGGCUCACCAAGGCUUCGAUGGGUAGCUGGUCUGAGAGGACGAUCAGCCACACUGGGACUGAGACACGGCCCAGACUCCUACGGGAGGCAGCAGUGGGGAAUCUUGCGCAAUGGGGGAAACCCUGACGCAGCAACGCCGCGUGGAGGAUGAAGUCCCUUGGGACGUAAACUCCUUUCGACCAAGACGAUAAUGACGGUACUGGUGGAAGAAGCACCGGCUAACUUCGUGCCAGCAGCCGC
RNAcentral lists this ribosomal RNA (467 nucleotides) under uncultured bacterium. RNAcentral's name for it is "SSU rRNA". It matches the Rfam family "Bacterial small subunit ribosomal RNA", at positions 26 to 518 of the family's 1533-position model. The record is from RNAcentral.